GAUGAACGCUGGCGGCGUGCCUAAUACAUGCAAGUCGAGCGAACAGACGAGGAGUUUGCUCCUCUGACGUUAGCGGCUGACGGGUGAGUAACACGUGGAUAACCUACCUAUAAGACUGGGAUAACUUCGGGAAACCGGAGCUAAUACCGGAUAAUAUAUUGAACCGCAUGGUUCAAUAGUUAAAGACGGUUUUGCUGUCACUUAUAGAUGGAUCCGCGCCGCAUUAGCUAGUUGGUAAGGUAACGGCUUACCAAGGCAACGAUCCGUAGCCGACAUGAGAGGGUGAUCGGCCACACUGGAACUGAGACACGGUCCAGACUCCUACGGGAGGCAGCAGUAGGGAAUCUUCCGCAAUGGGCGAAAGCCUGACGGAGCAACGCCGCGUGAGUGAUGAAGGUCUUCGGAUCGUAAAACUCUGUUAUUAGGGAAGAACAAAUGUGUAAGUAACUAUGCACGUCUUGACGGUACCUAAUCAGAAAGCCACGGCUAACUACGUG
This 497-nucleotide ribosomal RNA is filed under the name uncultured bacterium. RNAcentral's name for it is "partial 16S ribosomal RNA". It matches the Rfam family "Bacterial small subunit ribosomal RNA", at positions 28 to 507 of the family's 1533-position model. The record is from RNAcentral.